GCCGGGCGUGGUGGCGCGUGCCUGCAGUCCCUGCUACUCAGGAGGCUGAGACAGGAGAAUUGCUUGAACCUGGGAGGUGGAGGUUGCAGUGAGCCGAGAUUAUGCCACUGCACUUCAGCCUGGGUGACAGAGCGAGACUCUGUCUCAA
Molecule: non-coding RNA, 148 nt
Filed under: Nomascus leucogenys (northern white-cheeked gibbon)
Lineage: Eukaryota; Metazoa; Chordata; Mammalia; Primates; Hylobatidae
Source: Rfam by way of RNAcentral